This is a long non-coding RNA of Mastomys coucha (southern multimammate mouse), 1305 nucleotides long. RefSeq lists it as uncharacterized. The record is from RefSeq and is a predicted model, not a curated record. The transcript is spliced from 3 exons. Lineage: Eukaryota; Metazoa; Chordata; Mammalia; Rodentia; Muridae.
UUAGCAGGGAGACAGGACUGUCUGGGAGCGCAUGUCCUAGAGGCAGAGGCAGGACUUCCAGGAGGCUGUGAACAGGACUAACUUAUCCAGCCUCAGGAACAGAGACAGACUGUCUUCUAGAGAGGGACCAUCCGACAAUUUUCAGGCUCAAGUGAGCAGUUAACACCAAGACUUGGCGUGCGGACAUAAUGCAUGGGGCAACAGCCACUGUCCAUGCUUGGCCAUCUUCUGUGUGUGAAGCGGGUUAGUCCCACACAGCACCUGGAGAUCAUGGAGCAUCACUGUCUUCAUUUCUAUGAACUUCUGCUUAAGGCCCUGGCCGUGUGAUGGCUGAUCAUUGUCUUUCUCACUUGUACCAGAGAAAGCCUUGAAGAAUCUAUGACACAUUAUGGAAAAGUACAAGAGUGACCGAUCCUCCAACAGCGGUCAAUAGCGGCUUGAGCAGAGGCGAGGAGAUCCUGGAAAUUUAAAAGUGAGGUCUUGACAUUCCUGGGAGGAGGGAGCAUCAACUGAGGACUGCCUCUACCACACUAGCCUGUGGGCAGGUUCUUGGGCCCUUCCCUCGACUGCUAAUUGAUAAGGGAGGGUCUAGCCCAUUGUGGGUUGUGCUAUCUGUGCUCGCUUGUAGGGGUGACCCCUCACCUGCGAGCAGGAUCUCACGUCCUAUCGGGCCUGUGAAGGGGCUGAGAGGAGCCUCAUGGUCUUGCCUCUGUGGAGAAGGGCUUCAGCUCCAGCACUGCCCUCAGGCCCCUGCUCUGGCGUAACGUAAGCACGGCUGCUCUACAUUCUUAGAGCUGAGACUCUUUCCAGGCAGGAGCAACCCUAGGGUCACAUGGGCUGUGGGCAGGGUCCGGUACAUUCACUUCCUUUCCCCUCCCUUCUCUGUUCUGCCUUCUGUCCCUGUUCACUUACUCCUUUGUGAAUUUCUAGUUACCUGACAACACCUGCGAAGUAAGGCUGAUGGGAAACCCUAUCCCCUUGAAAGGACAACAGAGGCACCCUAGUGUGGCCUUGAACCAGUCAGCAACACAGAGGGUUUCUGGAUCUAGAGGCAUGCUUCCUCCUGGGAGACAGAAAUUCACCUGGUCACCCAUGAUAAGUUUUUUCUCCAUCUGCAAAGUGAGCCAAUUCAAGCCAAAUUAGAGAAUAUAAAGGCAGGUUUAUUGGGAAGCUGGUCUCGAGCAGGUUCACUGGUCUCAAGAAAGGAGGCCAGAAAAGUCACCAUGGGGAGGGAGACAGAGUGGAGGGAGAAGAGAAAGAGCACUAAGGGAGAGAACACACACAUACAUACACACACAUGCACAC